GGAGUUAGCCGGUGCUUCUUCUGUGAGUGAUGUCCUUCCUGCCGGCUAUUAACCCGCAGGCCUUCUUCCUCACUGAAAGUGCUUUACAACCCGAAGGCCUUCUUCACACACGCGGCAUGGCUGGAUCAGGGUUGCCCCCAUUGUCCAAUAUUCCCCACUGCUGCCUCCCGUAGGAGUCUGGGCCGUGUCUCAGUCCCAGUGUGGCUGAUCAUCCUCUCAGACCAGCUACGGAUCGUCGCCUUGGUGAGCCGUUACCUCACCAACCAGCUAAUCCGACAUAGGCUCAUCCGAUAGCGCGAGGCCCGAAGGUCCCCCGNUUUCCCCCGUAGGGCGUAUGCGGUAUUAGCCUGGGUUUCCCCAGGUUAUCCCCCACUACCGGGCAGAUUCCUAUGCAUUACUCACCCGUCCGCCGCUCGCCACCAGGGAGCAAGCUCCCCGUGCUGCCGCUCGACUUGCAUGUGUUAGGCCUGCCGCCAGCGUUCAAUCUGACCAGAUCAAAUUCUGA
RNAcentral lists this ribosomal RNA (505 nucleotides) under uncultured bacterium. Its description in RNAcentral is "partial 16S ribosomal RNA". The record is from RNAcentral.